This 426-nucleotide long non-coding RNA is filed under the name Olea europaea subsp. europaea. Lineage: Eukaryota; Viridiplantae; Streptophyta; Magnoliopsida; Lamiales; Oleaceae. The record is from RNAcentral.
GAAACUAUUAUAAUUUAGAUAUACUAGAAUUCUACUGAUUAUUAGUCUUUCGCCUUGAAUAGACUUUUAAUUGUUUCCUUGUUGCAUCAGAAACCUUUCCUCAAAUCCAGGACUUGAGCAAUUCAAAAUUCGUACAUCAGUUCAGAUAUAGAUCCAUCAAUGAAUCCGAGUUUAUUUUUCACAUACAACGCGAUUGUCAUUGCACGACUCUAAGAGGCAUAGUUAUCUUUGGUGAGCUGCUGCGAUACCAAAAUCAUUCCUGGACUAUCAGAAUGAUGCAAAAGCAUGGACUUGAAGUAUAAUCAACUGAUAACUUGUUCAUUGAUGUUCUUGAAUCUUUUGAUUGCUGUGGCUCCAUCUGAAAUCAGUUGCCAGAAUCAACAAUUGAUUAAAAAAUAAAAAAAUGAGCGAAGAAUUAGUAUGAGG